RNAcentral lists this non-coding RNA (24 nucleotides) under Cricetulus griseus (Chinese hamster). The record is from RNAcentral. Lineage: Eukaryota; Metazoa; Chordata; Mammalia; Rodentia; Cricetidae.
UACAGAUUGGGCUGUAGUCUUCUA